This 711-nucleotide ribosomal RNA is filed under the name Lactiplantibacillus pentosus. Its description in RNAcentral is "bacterial SSU rRNA". It matches the Rfam family "Bacterial small subunit ribosomal RNA", at positions 73 to 759 of the family's 1533-position model. The record is from RNAcentral. Lineage: Bacteria; Bacillati; Bacillota; Bacilli; Lactobacillales; Lactobacillaceae.
UUGGUGCUUGCAUCAUGAUUUACAUUUGAGUGAGUGGCGAACUGGUGAGUAACACGUGGGAAACCUGCCCAGAAGCGGGGGAUAACACCUGGAAACAGAUGCUAAUACCGCAUAACAACUUGGACCGCAUGGUCCGAGUUUGAAAGAUGGCUUCGGCUAUCACUUUUGGAUGGUCCCGCGGCGUAUUAGCUAGAUGGUGGGGUAACGGCUCACCAUGGCAAUGAUACGUAGCCGACCUGAGAGGGUAAUCGGCCACAUUGGGACUGAGACACGGCCCAAACUCCUACGGGAGGCAGCAGUAGGGAAUCUUCCACAAUGGACGAAAGUCUGAUGGAGCAACGCCGCGUGAGUGAAGAAGGGUUUCGGCUCGUAAAACUCUGUUGUUAAAGAAGAACAUAUCUGAGAGUAACUGUUCAGGUAUUGACGGUAUUUAACCAGAAAGCCACGGCUAACUACGUGCCAGCAGCCGCGGUAAUACGUAGGUGGCAAGCGUUGUCCGGAUUUAUUGGGCGUAAAGCGAGCGCAGGCGGUUUUUUAAGUCUGAUGUGAAAGCCUUCGGCUCAACCGAAGAAGUGCAUCGGAAACUGGGAAACUUGAGUGCAGAAGAGGACAGUGGAACUCCAUGUGUAGCGGUGAAAUGCGUAGAUAUAUGGAAGAACACCAGUGGCGAAGGCGGCUGUCUGGUCUGUAACUGACGCUGAGGCUCGAAAG